Long non-coding RNA from Passer domesticus (house sparrow), 1429 nucleotides. RefSeq lists it as uncharacterized. The record is from RefSeq and is a predicted model, not a curated record. Lineage: Eukaryota; Metazoa; Chordata; Aves; Passeriformes; Passeridae. The transcript is spliced from 3 exons.
CCAGAGGAGUCACAUGCAGACCAGGGUCAGCACCAGUUGCCUUUUCAGACAAUGAGGUCCUGUGGCUGUCUGUGACCUUCUCCUUUGCAGCCUGUCUCUUCCCUGCUGCCCUUUCUGUAGCCCUCUGUCUCCUCCAGGGUGGACAGAAUGGCAUUACGAACUUGUGAGGAGCUGAAACACCACAGUUCACAUCUAAAGUGACUUCUAUACAAGUAGAAGAUCAUCUCAAGCUUGAAUCCACUGGUUCACCUUGUAUAACUGAACAAUGAAAUUCAGAUCUAGAUUCCAGCCUCUCCAGAUGUCCAAAUCCCUGAUUCCACCUUGGUCCAUCUCAGUGAGACUCUUGGAAAGGACCUUUUUUCUCUCUGAUGAACAGUGCUGGUCAAAUUAUCAAAGGUUCAUAUUUGUUCAUGGCACACACAGGACUUCAUUAUCAGAUGAGAGCUCUGGAUGGAAAAAGGUCUCCUCAGCUUUGUGUCAUCAAGUUGAGACAGUGCUCCCAGCCGAUGGCAGCUCUUCCCUAGCCCGAGUAGGGCUGGCUCAGUGAGGUCCCUUGGACAUUGCUGGAAAAUCCUGCAUGGCAGCAGUGAUCAGCACAUGAAUGAGGACGGAGUGUGCUGCUGCUGGCCAAUGAUCACAGCACUGAUGGAUUCAUUGCUCAUUUAGGAAAACAAACAAAAAGGUGUCAGGGAAUUAACAUGUGGACCCGGGGAGGAUCACAACACCCUCAACAAGCAGGGGAGCUGACUCCAAGAGAGGCAAUGAUGCUCAAGCCAUAUUUCCCUGAACUGUUAAGAAAGGCAAUUUCUAAAUUGAGAGGGACAUAACAUUAAAUCUGUUAGCACAAACUUCUGUUUCCCUCAUCCAACAAGAUCACUUUCACCAAUUCUUUGUAGUCACAAAGGGAAACCAAAGCGAAUUCUCUUGCUUGGGGAAAGGGGAACAGCUUUACUCAAAUACAAAUACCCACCACAGCAGAUGGAAGAUGAAGAAGUGGAUCUCUACAGCUUAGGCUGAAAAUCCCAAAGACUGGCAGAAGUGAGUAGCAUAGAACAAGGUGACCUCAGCUAUUCCAGCAUCAGGUCUUUGAUCAUACACUGGCAAGCAAGGCAAAGAAACCGUGUGUCUGAACCGAACCAGUGCAGGAAACUGGGUCCUCUCCCCUUGAGGGUUUGGCCUGGCAAUUAUGCCUCGAACGGCUUGUUCUGGGCCAGAGAAGAGGAGAGACUGUUCUUGACUUUGGGCCAGCUUCUGUUCUCGCUUACACCGGUAUAAAUCUAGAGUCAUUUUACAGACGUCAGUAGAACAACUGAGAACAGAAUUGGUGGCUGAAUGGAUCUACUUCCUCAGCCAACACUGGUGCACUGUCCAGAAGCUACAUAUGCAACUGUAACCACAGUAAAGUGAAAUUAAUCUGCAAAGAGCCAAA